This 264-nucleotide ribosomal RNA is filed under the name Triticum aestivum (bread wheat). RNAcentral describes it as "partial small subunit ribosomal RNA". The record is from RNAcentral. Lineage: Eukaryota; Viridiplantae; Streptophyta; Magnoliopsida; Poales; Poaceae.
AUGGCCCAGCACGGCUUCCUCUCCUCCCUCCGCUCCCACCUCCGGACCACGCCGCCGCCGUCUCAUGUCCAGCCCCGCCGCGGGUACCACGUCGAGCUCGGCGCACGGGAGAAAGCGCUUUUAGAGGAAGAUGUUGCUUUGAAGAGGUUCAAAUCAUACAAGAACAGUGUCAAACGGGUCUCGAAAAUCGGGAAUGUUCUCACUCUCGUUGUCUUUGCUGCCUGCAGCUAUGAGGUCGUUACACUGGCAACAAGCACCCAAUGA